RNAcentral lists this ribosomal RNA (654 nucleotides) under Salmonella enterica subsp. enterica serovar Typhimurium. RNAcentral describes it as "bacterial SSU rRNA". It matches the Rfam family "Bacterial small subunit ribosomal RNA", at positions 890 to 1533 of the family's 1533-position model. Lineage: Bacteria; Pseudomonadati; Pseudomonadota; Gammaproteobacteria; Enterobacterales; Enterobacteriaceae. The record is from RNAcentral.
AAGGUUAAAACUCAAAUGAAUUGACGGGGGCCCGCGACAAGCGGUGGAGCAUGUGGUUUAAUUCGAUGCAACGCGAAGAACCUUACCUGGUCUUGACAUCCACAGAACUUUCCAGAGAUGGAUUGGUGCCUUCGGGAACUGUGAGACAGGUGCUGCAUGGCUGUCGUCAGCUCGUGUUGUGAAAUGUUGGGUUAAGUCCCGCAACGAGCGCAACCCUUAUCCUUUGUUGCCAGCGAUUAGGUCGGGAACUCAAAGGAGACUGCCAGUGAUAAACUGGAGGAAGGUGGGGAUGACGUCAAGUCAUCAUGGCCCUUACGACCAGGGCUACACACGUGCUACAAUGGCGCAUACAAAGAGAAGCGACCUCGCGAGAGCAAGCGGACCUCAUAAAGUGCGUCGUAGUCCGGAUUGGAGUCUGCAACUCGACUCCAUGAAGUCGGAAUCGCUAGUAAUCGUGGAUCAGAAUGCCACGGUGAAUACGUUCCCGGGCCUUGUACACACCGCCCGUCACACCAUGGGAGUGGGUUGCAAAAGAAGUAGGUAGCUUAACCUUCGGGAGGGCGCUUACCACUUUGUGAUUCAUGACUGGGGUGAAGUCGUAACAAGGUAACCGUAGGGGAACCUGCGGUUGGAUCACCUCCUUACCUUAAAGAA